Molecule: ribosomal RNA, 2902 nt
Filed under: Escherichia coli KTE77
Lineage: Bacteria; Pseudomonadati; Pseudomonadota; Gammaproteobacteria; Enterobacterales; Enterobacteriaceae
Description: bacterial LSU rRNA
Rfam family: Bacterial large subunit ribosomal RNA
Source: RNAcentral
UUAAGCGACUAAGCGUACACGGUGGAUGCCCUGGCAGUCAGAGGCGAUGAAGGACGUGCUAAUCUGCGAUAAGCGUCGGUAAGGUGAUAUGAACCGUUAUAACCGGCGAUUUCCGAAUGGGGAAACCCAGUGUGUUUCGACACACUAUCAUUAACUGAAUCCAUAGGUUAAUGAGGCGAACCGGGGGAACUGAAACAUCUAAGUACCCCGAGGAAAAGAAAUCAACCGAGAUUCCCCCAGUAGCGGCGAGCGAACGGGGAGCAGCCCAGAGCCUGAAUCAGUGUGUGUGUUAGUGGAAGCGUCUGGAAAGGCGCGCGAUACAGGGUGACAGCCCCGUACACAAAAAUGCACAUGCUGUGAGCUCGAUGAGUAGGGCGGGACACGUGGUAUCCUGUCUGAAUAUGGGGGGACCAUCCUCCAAGGCUAAAUACUCCUGACUGACCGAUAGUGAACCAGUACCGUGAGGGAAAGGCGAAAAGAACCCCGGCGAGGGGAGUGAAAAAGAACCUGAAACCGUGUACGUACAAGCAGUGGGAGCACGCUUAGGCGUGUGACUGCGUACCUUUUGUAUAAUGGGUCAGCGACUUAUAUUCUGUAGCAAGGUUAACCGAAUAGGGGAGCCGAAGGGAAACCGAGUCUUAACUGGGCGUUAAGUUGCAGGGUAUAGACCCGAAACCCGGUGAUCUAGCCAUGGGCAGGUUGAAGGUUGGGUAACACUAACUGGAGGACCGAACCGACUAAUGUUGAAAAAUUAGCGGAUGACUUGUGGCUGGGGGUGAAAGGCCAAUCAAACCGGGAGAUAGCUGGUUCUCCCCGAAAGCUAUUUAGGUAGCGCCUCGUGAAUUCAUCUCCGGGGGUAGAGCACUGUUUCGGCAAGGGGGUCAUCCCGACUUACCAACCCGAUGCAAACUGCGAAUACCGGAGAAUGUUAUCACGGGAGACACACGGCGGGUGCUAACGUCCGUCGUGAAGAGGGAAACAACCCAGACCGCCAGCUAAGGUCCCAAAGUCAUGGUUAAGUGGGAAACGAUGUGGGAAGGCCCAGACAGCCAGGAUGUUGGCUUAGAAGCAGCCAUCAUUUAAAGAAAGCGUAAUAGCUCACUGGUCGAGUCGGCCUGCGCGGAAGAUGUAACGGGGCUAAACCAUGCACCGAAGCUGCGGCAGCGACGCUGAUGCGUUGUUGGGUAGGGGAGCGUUCUGUAAGCCUGCGAAGGUGUGCUGUGAGGCAUGCUGGAGGUAUCAGAAGUGCGAAUGCUGACAUAAGUAACGAUAAAGCGGGUGAAAAGCCCGCUCGCCGGAAGACCAAGGGUUCCUGUCCAACGUUAAUCGGGGCAGGGUGAGUCGACCCCUAAGGCGAGGCCGAAAGGCGUAGUCGAUGGGAAACAGGUUAAUAUUCCUGUACUUGGUGUUACUGCGAAGGGGGGACGGAGAAGGCUAUGUUGGCCGGGCGACGGUUGUCCCGGUUUAAGCGUGUAGGCUGGUUUUCCAGGCAAAUCCGGAAAAUCAAGGCUGAGGCGUGAUGACGAGGCACUACGGUGCUGAAGCAACAAAUGCCCUGCUUCCAGGAAAAGCCUCUAAGCAUCAGGUAACAUCAAAUCGUACCCCAAACCGACACAGGUGGUCAGGUAGAGAAUACCAAGGCGCUUGAGAGAACUCGGGUGAAGGAACUAGGCAAAAUGGUGCCGUAACUUCGGGAGAAGGCACGCUGAUAUGUAGGUGAAGCGACUUGCUCGUGGAGCUGAAAUCAGUCGAAGAUACCAGCUGGCUGCAACUGUUUAUUAAAAACACAGCACUGUGCAAACACGAAAGUGGACGUAUACGGUGUGACGCCUGCCCGGUGCCGGAAGGUUAAUUGAUGGGGUUAGCGCAAGCGAAGCUCUUGAUCGAAGCCCCGGUAAACGGCGGCCGUAACUAUAACGGUCCUAAGGUAGCGAAAUUCCUUGUCGGGUAAGUUCCGACCUGCACGAAUGGCGUAAUGAUGGCCAGGCUGUCUCCACCCGAGACUCAGUGAAAUUGAACUCGCUGUGAAGAUGCAGUGUACCCGCGGCAAGACGGAAAGACCCCGUGAACCUUUACUAUAGCUUGACACUGAACAUUGAGCCUUGAUGUGUAGGAUAGGUGGGAGGCUUAGAAGUGUGGACGCCAGUCUGCAUGGAGCCGACCUUGAAAUACCACCCUUUAAUGUUUGAUGUUCUAACGUUGACCCGUAAUCCGGGUUGCGGACAGUGUCUGGUGGGUAGUUUGACUGGGGCGGUCUCCUCCUAAAGAGUAACGGAGGAGCACGAAGGUUGGCUAAUCCUGGUCGGACAUCAGGAGGUUAGUGCAAUGGCAUAAGCCAGCUUGACUGCGAGCGUGACGGCGCGAGCAGGUGCGAAAGCAGGUCAUAGUGAUCCGGUGGUUCUGAAUGGAAGGGCCAUCGCUCAACGGAUAAAAGGUACUCCGGGGAUAACAGGCUGAUACCGCCCAAGAGUUCAUAUCGACGGCGGUGUUUGGCACCUCGAUGUCGGCUCAUCACAUCCUGGGGCUGAAGUAGGUCCCAAGGGUAUGGCUGUUCGCCAUUUAAAGUGGUACGCGAGCUGGGUUUAGAACGUCGUGAGACAGUUCGGUCCCUAUCUGCCGUGGGCGCUGGAGAACUGAGGGGGGCUGCUCCUAGUACGAGAGGACCGGAGUGGACGCAUCACUGGUGUUCGGGUUGUCAUGCCAAUGGCACUGCCCGGUAGCUAAAUGCGGAAGAGAUAAGUGCUGAAAGCAUCUAAGCACGAAACUUGCCCCGAGAUGAGUUCUCCCUGACCCCUUAAGAGUCCUGAAGGAACGUUGAAGACGACGACGUUGAUAGGCCGGGUGUGUAAGCGCAGCGAUGCGUUGAGCUAACCGGUACUAAUGAACCGUGAGGCUUAACCUU